UGGGGAAUAUUGGACAAUGGGCGGAAGCCUGAUCCAGCCAUGCCGCGUGUGUGAAGAAGGCCUUUUGGUUGUAAAGCACUUUAAGCGAGGAGGAGGCUAUUUGGAUUAAUACUCUAGGAUAGUGGACGUCACUCGCAGAAUAAGCACCGGCUAACUCUGUGCCAGCAGCCGCGGUAAUACAGAGGGCGCGAGCGUUAAUCGGAUUUACUGGGCGUAAAGCGUGCGUAGGCGGCUUCUUAAGUCGGAUGUGAAAUCCCUGAGCUUAACUUAGGAAUUGCAGUCGAUACUGGGAAGCUAGAGUAUGGGAGAGGAUGGUAGAAUUCCAGGUGUAGCGGUGAAAUGCGUAGAGAUCUGGAGGAAUACCGAUGGCGAAGGCAGCCAUCUGACCUAAUACUGACGCUGAGGUACGAGGGCAUGGGGAGCAAACAGG
RNAcentral lists this ribosomal RNA (430 nucleotides) under Acidobacteriota bacterium. RNAcentral's name for it is "Acidobacteria bacterium partial 16S ribosomal RNA". It matches the Rfam family "Bacterial small subunit ribosomal RNA", at positions 355 to 776 of the family's 1533-position model. The record is from RNAcentral. Lineage: Bacteria; Pseudomonadati; Acidobacteriota.